ACUAAGGUUCGAUUCGAGCGCAGCGAGAAAGCGUUGCCAACGGCAACGGCCCGAAGGGCGAAGCGCGCAGCGCUGAGUCAUCCUUCCCCCACCACCA
This 97-nucleotide small RNA is filed under the name Salmonella enterica subsp. enterica serovar Agona. RNAcentral's name for it is "partial RtT sRNA". It matches the Rfam family "RtT RNA", at positions 35 to 130 of the family's 130-position model. Rfam says of the family: This family represents a bacterial cis-regulatory element known as RtT RNA. The exact function of RtT is unknown although it is thought that it may be involved in changing the cellular response in relation to amino acid starvation. Lineage: Bacteria; Pseudomonadati; Pseudomonadota; Gammaproteobacteria; Enterobacterales; Enterobacteriaceae. The record is from RNAcentral.